This 787-nucleotide non-coding RNA is filed under the name Melanagromyza sojae. Lineage: Eukaryota; Metazoa; Arthropoda; Insecta; Diptera; Agromyzidae. The record is from RNAcentral.
UAAAAGUUUUAUUUUAGCUUAAAAAUUUAUUAUUAAUUUAUUUUAUAUGUAAAUUUUUGUGUGAUUAAAUAAUUAUUUUAAAAAUGUUUAUUUUUUAUUUAAUUGCAAUAAUUAAUAUUAUUUUUUAAAGAAAUUUAGAAAUAGUGAUAUUAAUUAAUAUUGGUUAAAUUUGUGCCAGCUGCCGCGGUUAUACAAAUAAUAUAAAUAAAUUUUAUUAAUUUUAGUUAAAUUAUUUAUUUGUAAAAAUAAAAAUAAUUUUUUAGGUGAAAUUUUAAAUUAUUUUAUAUUUUAAAUUUAGUAUAAUUGAAGCUUAGAAAUUUUUUAAUUAAACUAGGAUUAGAUACCCUAUUAUUAAAAAAAAGAAAAUAUAAUUAAAGUAGUAUUAGUUAUGGUCUUGAAAUUUAAAAAAUUUGGCGGUAUUUUAGUCUAUUCAGAGGAAUCUGUUCUGUAAUUGAUAAUCCACAUUGGACCUUACUUAAAUUUGUUUUUCAAUUUAUAUACCGUCGUUAUAUGAAUAUUUUAUAAGAAUAAUAAUUUUCAAUAAUUUAAAUUAAAAUAUAUAUCAGAUCAAGGUGUAGUUUAUGUUUAAGUAGAAAUGGAUUACAAUAAAUGAAUUUUUGGAUAAAGAUAUGAAAUAAUUUUUUUAAAUUGGAUUUGAUUGUAAAAUUAUAAAGAUUAAUAAUUUGAUUUUAGCUCUAAAAUAUGUACACAUCGCCCGUCGCUCUUAUUAUUAAGAUAAGAUAAGUCGUAACAUAGUAGAUGUACCGGAAGGUGUAUCUAGAAUGAC